AUAAAGUUUUAUUCUUACUUAAGGAUUGACGUUAAAUUUGUUUUACAUGUAAAUUUUAGUGUAAUCAGGAAUUGGGGUUAAAUAGACUAUUUCCUUAAUGGUAUAGCCUAAACUACGUUAUUGCAGUAUUUAGUUUUAUAAAUUAAAGGGGUUUAGAUUUAGUAAAUUUAUUAGUAUCGGCAAAAAUCGUGCCAGCCGCCGCGGUUACACGGAGGGUACAAGUUAAUAAUUAUAAGUUAUUCGGUUAAAUUGGGUUAUAGUAUAAGAGGGAGGGGUAUUAUUAGGAGUUUUUAGGUGAAAUUUUAAUUUCUAGAAUAUUUCUUUCGUGUUUAUGGAUAUUGAGGCCGAGAGAUUUAGAUUUUAAACUAGGAUUAGAUACCCUAUUAUUUUAAAUGUAAAACAUUAGGAUACUUGAGUAGUAAUAGUUAUGUCCUUGAAACUCAAAGAAUUUGGCGGUGUUCUAGUCCUUUCAGAGGAACCUGCCCCUUAAUCGAUAUUCCACGCUUGAUCUUACUUAAUUUUGUUUAUCAGUUUGUAUACCGCCGUCGUCGGAAUGUCCUAGAAGGGGAAGCAUUUUCUUAAAUUUUAAAGUGAAAUAGAUGUCAGGUCAAGGUGCAGCUAAUAAUUAAGUGGAGGUGGGUUACAUUAAAUUUAUUUAUACGGAUAUUAAUCUGAAAGAAUAAAGAUUGGUUGAAGGUGGAUUUGAUGGUAAUAAUUGAGAGAAAGAAGUUUUGAUUUUUGGCUCUAGAGCAUGCACAUAUCGCCCGUCGCUCUCGUUAUUUAAGGCGAGAUAAGUCGUAACAUAGUAGAUGUACCGGAAGGUGUAUCUGGAAAGUU
Molecule: non-coding RNA, 837 nt
Filed under: Kamimuria klapaleki
Lineage: Eukaryota; Metazoa; Arthropoda; Insecta; Plecoptera; Perlidae
Source: RNAcentral